RNAcentral lists this ribosomal RNA (468 nucleotides) under uncultured bacterium. RNAcentral describes it as "partial 16S ribosomal RNA". It matches the Rfam family "Bacterial small subunit ribosomal RNA", at positions 28 to 507 of the family's 1533-position model. The record is from RNAcentral.
GACGAACGCUGGCGGCGUGCUUAACACAUGCAAGUCGAACGGAAAGGCCCUGCUUUUGUGGGGUGCUCGAGUGGCGAACGGGUGAGUAACACGUGAGUAACCUGCCCUUGACUUUGGGAUAACUUCAGGAAACUGGUGCUAAUACCGGAUAGGAGCUCCUGCUGCAUGGUGGGGGUUGGAAAGUUUGGGCGGUUGGGGAUGGACUCGCGGCUUAUCAGCUUGUUGGUGGGGUAGUGGCUUACCAAGGCUUUGACGGGUAGCCGGCCUGAGAGGGUGACCGGCCACAUUGGGACUGAGAUACGGCCCAGACUCCUACGGGAGGCAGCAGUGGGGAAUAUUGCACAAUGGGCGGAAGCCUGAUGCAGCAACGCCGCGUGCGGGAUGACGGCCUUCGGGUUGUAAACCGCUUUCGCCUGUGACGAAGCGUGAGUGACGGUAAUGGGUAAAGAAGCACCGGCUAACUACGUG